UCCAUCGACUUGGGCUGACAGGUGGAAAUGGACGAUUAAACGAUCGACAAACCCGCCAAGAAUUGUCUGGAAGCGUUGGAAGCUCGUACGAUCUCUUCGAAUACACACGCAUCGAGGCAGGGAGAGAAAGUAAGCGAGAGAGCGAUGAAUGGAAAAGGAGGGUUGCGGCCGAAAAGAGAGCAAAGAGGUUUAGGUUAAAAGAAGAGGACGAUUAUUUAUGGGACGGUUGUAUGGUGGCGCGUCCGUGCCAUGCAUAGACAGUACCUCAUUCCAAUCGGCAAACGAAUGGCUCAUUUUCUGUCCGCAAAUGUACGGAAAUGCCACUCGAGAACGGCAUUUCUUAAUAUUCGCCGGUAUUAGGAGAUAACCGGGCACGUGCGAACUAUUAGAAUGACGGCGUGGAAGGACGCAGCAGGUCGGCAAGACGAUAAAUUACAAAGAACGAAACGAUGGCUGAAUCACUGUAAGCUGCUAGGAGACAUUAAAAUGCCGCGCCGCAAAAAUCGAACAAAGUG
Long non-coding RNA from Cyphomyrmex costatus, 515 nucleotides. RefSeq lists it as uncharacterized. The record is from RefSeq and is a predicted model, not a curated record. The transcript has 3 exons. NCBI's taxonomy places the organism in Eukaryota, Metazoa, Arthropoda, Insecta, Hymenoptera, Formicidae.